AGGAUCUGAGUGAGAAGGUAGUCAUUACUGCUGAGGAUCUUCCUGAAGAACUUGAUGUAAUUGCCGAGACAAAAUGCAGUCACCAAUGUACAGCCUUGUGGAACAUUUGACAAAGAUAAGUGUCAAAUCAACUACAUCAUACUUUUUGAGAACGACACCGUUCAUCUGCAUCUUGUCAAAACAAAACACUGACAAUCCAAUUUACAAGACGCCGCUGACGUCCAAUCAGAAUCCAGUCUACAAAGGAACGGUCGAUGAUUAGAAUGACAGACAACCCCUAAGUCCAGUCUACAUGUAUAAGCUGAAAUCUGUGAGGACUAGAUUAAAAACCCAUAAGGAUAUGCAUGGUUUUGUUGCUGGCGCAUUUUCUCAUUAUAAUUUUAGAAACGUUUUGUUCUACCUUUUUUUUUUUGUAUGUUGUACUGUUUAAGAUCAAUCUGUACAUAAUUUGUCAGCGAUACUGUUAAUAUGGCUAUAUUCACGAUAGUUUUAAACAUAAUAAUGUAGAUCGAGCGAUACUCGCGAUAGUUUUGUACGUAGUUUGUCAGCGACAUUGUUGAUCGAGUGAUAUUCGCUAUAGUUUUGUACAUAAUUUGUCAGCGAUACUGUAUGUCGGGCGGUAUUCGUGAUACUUUUAUUUUCACUAAUAUUCGUGAAUACGUAAAUACUAGUGAAUUCAAUAUAUUUUUGAAUAGUAAUCUGCGUUAUGUCAUAAAAUAUAAACACUCACGUUUCGCAAAUUCUUAACACCGCUAAUGUAACUGCUUACCAUGACGCUAAGAAUGCGUACAUGAAAUAGCCCAAUCUACAGUAUAUAAAUAUUUAACUUUGUUUUGUUUCAUGCUUAAAAUGAUGUACAAUUUUUAUUUGUAAAUACGUCAGUCCUGUAUUUUUUCCUUUUUCUGUUCGGUUUUGAGUUUAAUAUGUGUUUGUAGAUAAUGUGUGGUUCUAUGAAUUAUGUGGUUAUAGAUUUUAAUCAAGUUAUUAUUUACAUCAGGGUCAGAUAUGCGAUUAUAUUUUCGUAUUUGUUUCAUUUUAUUAUAUCUGAGAGUUUGCUUCUGUGACAGUAGCUGGAUAAGUUAACCUGUUAAUCUUUACUUACAUAUAUCUUUCGUAGGUUGUCUGUAACCUGUUACCUUUUGUAAGAGUUUAAUCAUCCGCGGUAUUUCGUAUGUUGUCUAUAACCUGUCGCCUUUUGUAAGAGUUUAGUCGUCCGCGGUAUUUUUUAUGUUGUCUGUAACCUGUCGCCUUUUGUAAGAGUUUAGUCGUCCGCGGUAUUUCGUAUGUUGUCUGUAACCUGUCGCCUUUUGUAAGAUUAAAGUCGUCCGCGGUAUUUCGUAUGUUGUCUGUAACUUGUCGCCUUUUGUAAGAGUUUAAUCGUCCGCGGUAUUUCG
This is a long non-coding RNA of Mercenaria mercenaria, 1394 nucleotides long. RefSeq lists it as uncharacterized. Lineage: Eukaryota; Metazoa; Mollusca; Bivalvia; Venerida; Veneridae. The transcript is spliced from 3 exons. The record is from RefSeq and is a predicted model, not a curated record.